This is a long non-coding RNA of Orbicella faveolata, 719 nucleotides long. Lineage: Eukaryota; Metazoa; Cnidaria; Anthozoa; Scleractinia; Merulinidae. The record is from RefSeq and is a predicted model, not a curated record.
CGAUCAGGCCUCGUAAACCCCCUUUUUGUUCAUGUGUAUAUUCGCUUUCUCAAUUUUACCUAUGUGAUAUUUAUGCUGAAAUGCGAACGCAAACAGUAAAAAAUAUUAAUAACCGAACUCGUUUGCUAUAUUAGUUGGCGAUUACAUGUUAUGAAAUCGUUGAAACGCGUUGUAUUACUUCAAAAAGUCAUGGCAAUGGCUGCUUCAUUGUAAUUCUUGGCGAGCUUUGUUUGUUUUCUUGGUUGGGGUGAAUUAUUCACAAACGCUGUCAGCGGGUAACCACUGGCAGUAACUUAUACUAAUGGGAAAACUUGCGUUCGAUUGAUUCUGAACGUGGGCAAACUAAGAUCGUGAUGUUCUAAGAGCUUGAACAUUUUCCUCUUUUUAUAUCCCAUUUAGCAUGUACCAAUCUCUUUUGGCGGUGUCUUUGUUGUGAAAAUACCCGGACCGCGAAGACAACAAUUGGAGGGAGCAAACCAUCUGUAUUUGCCAAGACUGAGCAAAUUUAUCAAUUUUGGGAGGAAAAGAGAUCCAUAGAAACACCGAUUUUGUUUUACCCACGAAGGACUUUACCGCGUGUAAAAAAUAUCUUGGAAAGAAGGCCAAACGGAAUAUUUAAAGGUGAAGAAUUUUAUUGGUAAACAAGGAAACUGACUGCAGCUGAAACGAUUCGAGAAAGAAUCGCACAAGACAACGAACAUUUGAGGAUAUUCCGAAAG